This 354-nucleotide ribosomal RNA is filed under the name uncultured Acidobacteriota bacterium. RNAcentral's name for it is "bacterial SSU rRNA". It matches the Rfam family "Bacterial small subunit ribosomal RNA", at positions 20 to 358 of the family's 1533-position model. The record is from RNAcentral. Lineage: Bacteria; Pseudomonadati; Acidobacteriota.
UGGCUCAGAACGAACGCUGGCGGCGUGCCUCAGACGUGCAAGUCGAACGCGAAAGUUCCCUUCGGGGAGCAAGUAGAGUGGCGCACGGGUGAGUAACACGUAGGUAAUCUACCUUGGAUUGGGAAUAACAACCGGAAACGGUUGCUAAUACCGAAUAAUGCAGCGGCACCUAAUGGUGACAGUUGUUAAAGCGGGGGAUCGCAAGACCUCGCGUCUGAAGAGGAGCCUGCGGCAGAUUAGCUAGUUGGUAAGGUAACGGCUUACCAGGGCGAUGAUCUGUAGCCGGCCUGAGAGGGCGGUCGGCCACACUGACACUGGCAUACGGAUCAGACUCCUACGGGUGGCAGCAGUGGG